AGCGGCGGACGGGUGAGUAACGCGUGGGUAACCUGCCUCAUACAGGGGGAUAACAGUUGGAAACGACUGCUAAUACCGCAUAAGCGCACAGUACCGCAUGGUACCGUGUGAAAAACUCCGGUGGUAUGAGAUGGACCCGCGUCUGAUUAGCUAGUUGGUGGGGUAACGGCCUACCAAGGCGACGAUCAGUAGCCGGCCUGAGAGGGUGAACGGCCACAUUGGGACUGAGACACGGCCCAA
Molecule: ribosomal RNA, 240 nt
Filed under: uncultured bacterium
Lineage: Bacteria
Description: partial 16S ribosomal RNA
Rfam family: Bacterial small subunit ribosomal RNA
Source: RNAcentral